GACCUGGUGGUGAAGUGCAUCACACCCACCCUCUUUGCAAAGCUUCCUUGUAUGCAAAAAUUGAUGGUGGAAGUCCCUGGUUCGACUCCGGGCCAGGUCA
Non-coding RNA from Mycena maculata, 100 nucleotides. The record is from the annotation of a GenBank genome assembly. NCBI's taxonomy places the organism in Eukaryota, Fungi, Basidiomycota, Agaricomycetes, Agaricales, Mycenaceae.